Molecule: ribosomal RNA, 950 nt
Filed under: Taphrina betulina
Lineage: Eukaryota; Fungi; Ascomycota; Taphrinomycetes; Taphrinales; Taphrinaceae
Description: SSU rRNA
Rfam family: Bacterial small subunit ribosomal RNA
Source: RNAcentral
AAGGGUCCGUAAAACGGUAAAUUAAGCGRUGAUUUUCCUAAAGAAUCAUUUUAAUUAUAUCGAACUAAUUUACUAGAGUCUUAUAGAGGAACAGAGGAAUUGCAAGAGUAAGGAUGAAAUCUAUUGAUACUUGUAGGACCGCCAACGGCGAAGGCAUCGUUCUAGGUAAAGACUGACGUUGAGGGACUAAGGCGUUGGGAGCGAAAAGGAUUAGAUACCCCUGUAGUCAACGCUGUAAACGAUGAGUGCUUAAGAUUAGUAAUAAUUAUUAUCCUUUUUUUCUCGACUUCCUGUUGUCUUCCGAGUUUUCGCUUGACUGGGCGGGGUUUCCCCUGCCCCUCUUCAAGAAAAACGAAAGCAAAAGCAAGACGGCGAGUUAAGUCCAAAAGGAAUAAUUCUAAAUUAGUCUCGAAAUGAAGAUGUUAAGCACUUCACCUGGGGAGUACUGUCGCAAGGCUGAAACCCAAAACAUUAGACGGUCACGGAAACCAGCAGUGAAGCAUGUUAUUUAAUACGAUGAUCCGCGUACAACCUUACCACUUCUUGAAUGUCCUUUCCCCUAAAAAGGAAAGGCCUGUUUAAGACGCAUUAUUGCUCUUAAAUUUGGAUAAAUACAACAGGCGUUGCAUGGCUGUCUUCAGUUCGUGUCGUGAGAUGUCAGGUUCAUUCCGGUAAACGAAUGAAACCCUUUUUUCUUAAUUUAUAAGUUAGAAGAUUAGAUUUUAUUUUAAUCAACAAACUUCAUUAAGAUAACCCUUGGAAAACGAGGAUAUAAUGGGGAUUAAGACAAGUCGUCAUGGCCUUUAUGAAGUGGGCUAUAGACGUGCCACAAAAGCCUUUACAAUGGGAUGCUAAGACGUGAGUCAGCGCUAAACCUUAAAAAAAAGGCUAUGUUCGGAUUGUAGUCUGCRACUCGACUACAUGAAGCAGGAAAUUGCUAGUAAUCGUAA